CAAAGAUAUGGUCCCGACCUUAAUAUCAGCCUUAACCAAACUUACACAUGCAAGUAUCCGCAACCCAGUGAAUACGCCCCCACCCCCCACCCAGGAAUCAAGGAGCAGGUAUCAGGAACAAAAAUUAGCCCAAGACGCCUAGCUAAGCCACACCCCCAAGGGAAUUCAGCAGUGAUAAACAUUAAGCAAUAGGUGAAAACCCGACUUAGUUAUGGUUUAAAGGGCCAGUAAAAUUCGUGCCAGCAACCGCGGUUAGACGAAUAGCCCUAGUUGAUAAAUUAACGGCGUAAAGUGUGGUUAGGAAAAACAAAUAAAGUUAAAUGACCCCUUGGCUGUUAUACGCUUCUAGGAGUCCGAAACCCAAACACGAAAGUUACUUUAACUUAUACACCUGAAUCCACGAAAGCUGAGAAACAAACUGGGAUUAGAUACCCCACUAUGCUCAGCCGUAAACCAAGACAAUUACAACGUCCGCCAGGAUAUUACGAGCAUCAGCUUAAAACCCAAAGGACCUGACGGUGCCUUAAACCCCCCUAGAGGAGCCUGUUCUAUAACCGACAAUCCCCGUUUAACCUCACCAUUUCUGGCCAACCCAGUCUAUAUACCACCGUCGCCAGCUUACCCUGUGAAGGAAUUAAAAUAAGCAAAAAGAGUACUACUCAAAACGUCAGGUCGAGGUGUAGCGAACGAAAUGGGAAGAAAUGGGCUACAUUUUCUGUAACAGAAAACCACGAAUAUACAUCAUGAAACAAUGUUUAAAGGAGGAUUUAGCAGUAAAAAGGAAAUAGAGUGUCCUUUUGAACCCGGCCCUAAGGCACGUACACACCGCCCGUCACUCUCUCCGGUCACAAUGCACAAAAUGUACAUAACCCACAAGCACUGACAAGAAGAGGCAAGUCGUAACAAGGUAAGCGUACCGGAAGGUGCACUUGGAAAACC
Molecule: non-coding RNA, 939 nt
Filed under: Rasbora kalbarensis (Kalbar rasbora)
Lineage: Eukaryota; Metazoa; Chordata; Actinopteri; Cypriniformes; Danionidae
Description: 12S ribosomal RNA
Rfam family: Bacterial small subunit ribosomal RNA
Source: RNAcentral